UACGAAGGGUGCAAGCGUUACUCGGAAUUACUGGGCGUAAAGCGUGCGUAGGUGGUUUGUUAAGUCUGAUGUGAAAGCCCUGGGCUCAACCUGGGAAUGGCAUUGGAAACUGGCGAGCUAGAGUGCGGUAGAGGGUAGUGGAAUUCCCGGUGUAGCAGUGAAAUGCGUAGAGAUCGGGAGGAACAUUCGUGGCGAAGGCAGCUACCUGGACCAGCACUGACACUGAGGAACGAAAGCGUGGGGAGCAAACAGG
Molecule: ribosomal RNA, 253 nt
Filed under: uncultured bacterium
Lineage: Bacteria
Description: partial 16S ribosomal RNA
Rfam family: Bacterial small subunit ribosomal RNA
Source: RNAcentral